Molecule: non-coding RNA, 23 nt
Filed under: Arabidopsis thaliana (thale cress)
Lineage: Eukaryota; Viridiplantae; Streptophyta; Magnoliopsida; Brassicales; Brassicaceae
Source: RNAcentral
AGGAAGGGUUUAGAGGAGACGAG